Molecule: ribosomal RNA, 253 nt
Filed under: uncultured bacterium
Lineage: Bacteria
Description: partial 16S ribosomal RNA
Rfam family: Bacterial small subunit ribosomal RNA
Source: RNAcentral
UACGUAGGUGGCGAGCGUUGUCCGGAAUUACUGGGUGUAAAGGGCGCGUAGGCGGGGAUGCAAGUCAGAUGUGAAAUACCGGGGCUUAACUCCGGGGGUGCAUCUGAAACUGUGUUUCUUGAGUGCCGGAGAGGGAAGCGGAAUUUCCAGUGUAGCGGUGAAAUGCGUAGAUAUUGGGAGGAACACCGGUGGCGAAGGCGGCUUUCUGGACGGUAACUGACGCUGAGGCGCGAAAGCGUGGGGAGCAAACAGG